RNAcentral lists this ribosomal RNA (474 nucleotides) under uncultured organism. Its description in RNAcentral is "partial 16S ribosomal RNA". It matches the Rfam family "Bacterial small subunit ribosomal RNA", at positions 329 to 796 of the family's 1533-position model. The record is from RNAcentral.
ACGUACACUCCUCGGGAGGCAGCAGUGGGGAAUUUUGGACAAUGGGCGAAAGCCUGAUCCAGCCAUGCCGCGUGCAGGAUGAAGGCCUUCGGGUUGUAAACUGCUUUUGUACGGAACGAAACGGCCUUUUCUAAUAAAGAGGGCUAAUGACGGUACCGUAAGAAUAAGCACCGGCUAACUACGUGCCAGCAGCCGCGGUAAUACGUAGGGUGCAAGCGUUAAUCGGAAUUACUGGGCGUAAAGCGUGCGCAGGCGGUUAUGUAAGACAGUUGUGAAAUCCCCGGGCUCAACCUGGGAACUGCAUCUGUGACUGCAUAGCUAGAGUACGGUAGAGGGGGAUGGAAUUCCGCGUGUAGCAGUGAAAUGCGUAGAUAUGCGGAGGAACACCGAUGGCGAAGGCAAUCCCCUGGACCUGUACUGACGCUCAUGCACGAAAGCGUGGGGAGCAAACAGGAUUAGAUACCCCAGGAGUCC